UGGUAGGAGAGAAGAGAUUAAUCGACUCUGCAGUAAUAGCAGAGAGCCUGCACAGGUGCUGCAUGGCUGUCGUCAGCUCGUGUCGUGAGAUGUUGGGUUAAGGUCCCGCAACGAGCGCAACCCCUACUUGCCAGUUGCUAACAGGAGAGCUGAGCACUCUGGCGAGACUGCCGCCGACAAGGCGGAGGAAGGUGGGGAUGACGUCAAGUCAUCAUGGCCUUUAUGCCCAGGGCUACACACGUGCUACAAUGGCCGGCACAGACGGCAGCUUAGUGGCGACACUUGGCAAAUCCUCUAAAGCCGGUCCCAGUUCGGAUUGCAGUCUGCAACUCGACUGCAUGAAGCCGGAAUCGCUAGUAAUCGCGGAUCAGAACGCCGCGGUGAAUACGUUCUCGGGGUUU
This 401-nucleotide ribosomal RNA is filed under the name uncultured Synergistaceae bacterium. RNAcentral's name for it is "bacterial SSU rRNA". It matches the Rfam family "Bacterial small subunit ribosomal RNA", at positions 987 to 1382 of the family's 1533-position model. Lineage: Bacteria; Thermotogati; Synergistota; Synergistia; Synergistales; Synergistaceae. The record is from RNAcentral.